This 253-nucleotide ribosomal RNA is filed under the name uncultured bacterium. RNAcentral's name for it is "partial 16S ribosomal RNA". It matches the Rfam family "Bacterial small subunit ribosomal RNA", at positions 524 to 776 of the family's 1533-position model. The record is from RNAcentral.
UACGAAGGGGGCUAGCGUUGCUCGGAAUUACUGGGCGUAAAGCGCACGAAGGCGGAUUGUUAAGUCGGGGGUGAAAUCCUGGAGCUCAACUCCAGAACUGCCUUCGAUACUGGCGAUCUCGAGUCCGGGAGAGGUGAGUGGAACUGCGAGUGUAGAGGUGAAAUUCGUAGAUAUUCGCAAGAACACCAGUGGCGAAGGCGGCUCACUGGCCCGGUACUGACGCUGAGGUGCGAAAGCGUGGGGAGCAAACAGG